RNAcentral lists this transfer RNA (74 nucleotides) under Aphanomyces euteiches. Its description in RNAcentral is "tRNA-Ile". It matches the Rfam family "tRNA". Rfam says of the family: Transfer RNA (tRNA) molecules are approximately 80 nucleotides in length. Their secondary structure includes four short double-helical elements and three loops (D, anti-codon, and T loops). RNAcentral also lists the same sequence under 2 other names. Lineage: Eukaryota; Oomycota; Saprolegniomycetes; Saprolegniales; Verrucalvaceae. The record is from RNAcentral.
UGGCCCUUAGCUCAGCUGGUUAGAGCGCACCCCUGAUAAGGGUGAGGUCGGUGGUUCGAGUCCACUAGGGCCAA